GCGCUCAUCAUUUUUGUGAUUGGUGCAAUUGUGCACCAGCAAAUUGCAUAGUCACAAAAGUGAUGGUCGC
Molecule: non-coding RNA, 70 nt
Organism: Ixodes scapularis (black-legged tick)
Lineage: Eukaryota; Metazoa; Arthropoda; Arachnida; Ixodida; Ixodidae
Source: Rfam